GUUCGGAUUGUAGUCUGCAACUCGACUACAUGAAGCUGGAAUCGCUAGUAAUCGCAGAUCAGAAUGCUGCGGUGAAUACGUUCCCGGGUCUUGUACACACCGCCCGUCACACCAUGGGAGUCGGAAAUGCCCGAAGCCGGUGACCAAACCAAUAAGGAAGGAGCCGUCGAAGGCAGGUCUGAUAACUGGGUGAAGUCGUAACAAGGUAGC
RNAcentral lists this ribosomal RNA (210 nucleotides) under uncultured bacterium. RNAcentral describes it as "partial 16S ribosomal RNA". It matches the Rfam family "Bacterial small subunit ribosomal RNA", at positions 1291 to 1500 of the family's 1533-position model. The record is from RNAcentral.